This 77-nucleotide transfer RNA is filed under the name Bacillota bacterium. RNAcentral's name for it is "tRNA-Val". It matches the Rfam family "tRNA". Rfam says of the family: Transfer RNA (tRNA) molecules are approximately 80 nucleotides in length. Their secondary structure includes four short double-helical elements and three loops (D, anti-codon, and T loops). Lineage: Bacteria; Bacillati; Bacillota. RNAcentral also lists the same sequence under 1 other name. The record is from RNAcentral.
GGGGCUAUAGCUCAGUUGGUUAGAGUGCUUGCUUGACAUGCAAGAGGCCACUGGUUCGAAUCCAGUUAGCCCCACCA